CGCGAAAGGGGGCAACCCUGAGUAGAGUGGCGGACGGGUGAGUAACGCGUAGGAAUCUACCUCGUAGUGGAGGACAACCCGGCAAAAGCCGGGCUAAUACCGCAUACGAUCCAUGGAUGAAAGCAGGGGACCGCAAGGCCUUGCGCUAUGAGAUGAGCCUGCGUCGGAUUAGCUAGUUGGUGGGGUAAAGGCCCACCAAGGCGACGAUCCGUAGCUGGUUUGAGAGAACGACCAGCCACACUGGGACUGAGACACGGCCCAGACUCCUACGGGAGGCAGCAGUGGGGAAUAUUGGACAAUGGGGGCAACCCUGAUCCAGCAAUGCCGCGUGUGUGAAGAAGGCCUUCGGGUUGUAAAGCACUUUCAGUGGGGACAAACAAGGCGGAGCUAACAUCUCCGUCCCUGAUGGUACCCAAAGAAGAAGCACCGGCUAACUCUGUGCCAGCAGCCGCGGUAAUACAGAGGGUGCAAGCGUUAAUCGGAAUUACUGGGCGUAAAGCGUGCGUAGGGUGGUUUGUUAAGUCAGGUGUGAAAUCCUGGGGCUCAACCUCAGAAUUGCGCUUGAUACUGGCAGACUCGAGUGUGGUAGAGGGAUAGUGGAAUUCCCGGUGUAGCGGUGA
RNAcentral lists this ribosomal RNA (620 nucleotides) under uncultured Pseudomonadota bacterium. Its description in RNAcentral is "bacterial SSU rRNA". It matches the Rfam family "Bacterial small subunit ribosomal RNA", at positions 67 to 684 of the family's 1533-position model. The record is from RNAcentral. Lineage: Bacteria; Pseudomonadati; Pseudomonadota.